GCCGCGGUCGCAUAAUCUGGUAUUGCACAAGCCUGGAAAGCUUGACUCGAAAGGGUAUCCCGGUUCAAAUCCGGGCCGCGGCG
Molecule: transfer RNA, 83 nt
Filed under: Candidatus Woesearchaeota archaeon
Lineage: Archaea; Nanobdellati; Candidatus Woesearchaeota
Description: tRNA-Ser
Rfam family: tRNA
About the family: Transfer RNA (tRNA) molecules are approximately 80 nucleotides in length. Their secondary structure includes four short double-helical elements and three loops (D, anti-codon, and T loops).
Source: RNAcentral